RNAcentral lists this ribosomal RNA (253 nucleotides) under uncultured bacterium. Its description in RNAcentral is "partial 16S ribosomal RNA". It matches the Rfam family "Bacterial small subunit ribosomal RNA", at positions 524 to 776 of the family's 1533-position model. The record is from RNAcentral.
UACGGAGGGUGCGAGCGUUGUUCGGAAUCACUGGGCGUAAAGGGCGUGUAGGCGGUCCGCUAAGUCUGAUGUGAAAGCCCGGGGCUCACCCCCGGAAGUGCAUUGGAAACUGGCGGACUCGAGUCCCGGAGAGGAGAGUGGAAUUCCUGGUGUAGCGGUGAAAUGCGUAGAUAUCAAGAGGAACACCGGUGGCGAAGGCGGCUCUCUGGACGGUGACUGACGCUGAGACGCGAAAGCGUGGGGAGCAAACAGG